CAAGCUGGCCAGGCGGCCGCGGCACUUCGGUGUCGAGGAACGUCCGGGCUCCAUAGAGCACGGUGGUGGGUAACGCCCACCCGAGGUGACUCGCGGGACAGUGCCACAGAAAGUAAACCGCCGCAAGGUAAGGGUGAAAGGGUGAGGUAAGAGCUCACCGCGGACCGGGUGACCGGGACGGCAUGGUAAACCCCACCGGGAGCAAGACCAGACAGUCGGCCAAACGCUGCUCGUGACGGGCUAGUCCCGGGCCGACGGGUGGGUCGCUAGAAGUGCGCGGCAACGCGUACUCGAGAUGGAUGGUCGCCCUAGACAGAACCCGGCGUAUCGGCCAGCUUGUCCC
RNAcentral lists this RNase P RNA (343 nucleotides) under Flaviflexus equikiangi. Its description in RNAcentral is "RNase P RNA component class A". It matches the Rfam family "Bacterial RNase P class A". From Rfam's summary of the family: Ribonuclease P (RNase P) is a ubiquitous endoribonuclease, found in archaea, bacteria and eukarya as well as chloroplasts and mitochondria. Its best characterised activity is the generation of mature 5'-ends of tRNAs by cleaving the 5'-leader elements of precursor-tRNAs. The record is from RNAcentral. Lineage: Bacteria; Bacillati; Actinomycetota; Actinomycetes; Actinomycetales; Actinomycetaceae.